Molecule: transfer RNA, 85 nt
Filed under: Mogibacterium timidum
Lineage: Bacteria; Bacillati; Bacillota; Clostridia; Peptostreptococcales; Anaerovoracaceae
Also listed under: 13 other names
Description: tRNA-Tyr
Rfam family: tRNA
About the family: Transfer RNA (tRNA) molecules are approximately 80 nucleotides in length. Their secondary structure includes four short double-helical elements and three loops (D, anti-codon, and T loops). Further hydrogen bonds mediate the characteristic L-shaped molecular structure. tRNAs have two regions of fundamental functional importance: the anti-codon, which is responsible for specific mRNA codon recognition, and the 3' end, to which the tRNAs corresponding amino acid is attached (by aminoacyl-tRNA synthetases). tRNAs cope with the degeneracy of the genetic code in two manners: having more than one tRNA (with a specific anti-codon) for a particular amino acid; and 'wobble' base-pairing, i.e. permitting non-standard base-pairing at the 3rd anti-codon position.
Source: RNAcentral
CGAGGGAUUCCCGAGUGGCCAAAGGGGGCGGACUGUAAAUCCGUUAGCUGUGCUUUCGAUGGUUCGAAUCCAUCUCCCUCGACCA